AACGAACGCUGGCGGCAUGCCUAACACAUGCAAGUCGAACGAGACCUUCGGGUCUAGUGGCGCACGGGUGCGUAACGCGUGGGAACCUGCCCUUAGGUUCGGAAUAACUCCCCGAAAGGGGUGCUAAUACCGGAUAAUGUCUUCGGACCAAAGAUUUAUCGCCUUUGGAUGGGCCCGCGUUGGAUUAGCUAGUUGGUAGGGUAAAAGCCUACCAAGGCGACGAUCCAUAGCUGGUCUGAGAGGAUGAUCAGCCACACUGGGACUGAGACACGGCCCAGACCCCGAGGGGAGGGGGGAGGGGGGAAUAUUGGAAAAGGGGGGAAGGCUUAACCAACCAGCGCCGGGGGAGUGAUGAGGGCUUUGGGGUUGAAAAGCUUUUUUCCCCGGGAUGAUAAUGACGGUACGGGGAAAAUAAGCUCCGGCUAACUCCGUG
RNAcentral lists this ribosomal RNA (433 nucleotides) under uncultured bacterium. RNAcentral's name for it is "partial 16S ribosomal RNA". It matches the Rfam family "Bacterial small subunit ribosomal RNA", at positions 29 to 507 of the family's 1533-position model. The record is from RNAcentral.